This 77-nucleotide transfer RNA is filed under the name Providencia stuartii. Its description in RNAcentral is "tRNA-Val". It matches the Rfam family "tRNA". From Rfam's summary of the family: Transfer RNA (tRNA) molecules are approximately 80 nucleotides in length. Their secondary structure includes four short double-helical elements and three loops (D, anti-codon, and T loops). Further hydrogen bonds mediate the characteristic L-shaped molecular structure. tRNAs have two regions of fundamental functional importance: the anti-codon, which is responsible for specific mRNA codon recognition, and the 3' end, to which the tRNAs corresponding amino acid is attached (by aminoacyl-tRNA synthetases). tRNAs cope with the degeneracy of the genetic code in two manners: having more than one tRNA (with a specific anti-codon) for a particular amino acid; and 'wobble' base-pairing, i.e. permitting non-standard base-pairing at the 3rd anti-codon position. The record is from RNAcentral. Lineage: Bacteria; Pseudomonadati; Pseudomonadota; Gammaproteobacteria; Enterobacterales; Morganellaceae.
GCGUCCGUAGCUCAGUUGGUUAGAGCACCACCUUGACAUGGUGGGGGUCGGUAGUUAGAGUCUACUCGGACGCACCA